Molecule: ribosomal RNA, 253 nt
Filed under: uncultured bacterium
Lineage: Bacteria
Description: partial 16S ribosomal RNA
Rfam family: Bacterial small subunit ribosomal RNA
Source: RNAcentral
UACGUAGGGGGCAAGCGUUAUCCGGAUUUACUGGGUGUAAAGGGAGCGUAGACGGCAAUGCAAGUCUGGAGUGAAAGGCGGGGGCCCAACCCCCGGACUGCUCUGGAAACUGUAUAGCUGGAGUGCAGGAGAGGUAAGUGGAAUUCCUAGUGUAGCGGUGAAAUGCGUAGAUAUUAGGAGGGACACCAGUGGCGAAGGCGGCUUACUGGACUGUAACUGACGUUGAGGCUCGAAAGCGUGGGGAGCAAACAGG